GCCGGGUGCGGUGGCGCGCACCUGUAGUCCCAGCUACUCGGGAGGCUGAGGCUGGAGGAUCGCUUGAGCCCAGGAGUUCUGGGCUGUAGUGCGCUAUGCCGAUCGGCUGUCCGCACUAAGUUCGGCAUCAAUAUGGUGACCUCCCGGGAGCGGGGGGGCCACCAGGUUGCCUAAGGAGGGGUGAACCGGCCCAGGUCAGAGACGGAGCAGGUCAAAGCUCCUGUGCUGAUCAGUAGUGGGAUCGCGCCUGUAAAUAGCCACUGCACUCCAGCCUGGGCAACAUAGCGAGACCCCGUCUCUA
Non-coding RNA from Myotis lucifugus (little brown bat), 301 nucleotides. The record is from Rfam. NCBI's taxonomy places the organism in Eukaryota, Metazoa, Chordata, Mammalia, Chiroptera, Vespertilionidae.